This is a non-coding RNA of Dipodomys ordii (Ord's kangaroo rat), 72 nucleotides long. Lineage: Eukaryota; Metazoa; Chordata; Mammalia; Rodentia; Heteromyidae. The record is from Rfam.
GGGGAGUUUGCUCAGUGGUAGAGUGCUUGUCUUGCAUGCAUGAGGCCCUGGGUUCGAUUCCUCAGCACCACA